CAUCUUACUAGACAGUGCUGGAUUGUGUGCUCUGAUUCUAACACUGUCUGGUAACGAUGUU
Molecule: microRNA precursor, 61 nt
Filed under: Anolis carolinensis (green anole)
Lineage: Eukaryota; Metazoa; Chordata; Lepidosauria; Squamata; Anolidae
Description: Aca-Mir-8-P2a_pre stem-loop
Rfam family: mir-8/mir-141/mir-200 microRNA precursor family
About the family: The bounds of the precursors are predicted based on conservation and base pairing and are not generally known.
Source: RNAcentral